UUAAGCGACUAAGCGUACACGGUGGAUGCCCUGGCAGUCAGAGGCGAUGAAGGACGUGCUAAUCUGCGAAAAGCGUCGGUAAGGUGAUAUGAACCGUUACAGCCGGCGAUGUCCGAAUGGGGAAACCCAGUGUGAUUCGUCACACUAUCGUUAACUGAAUACAUAGGUUAACGAGGCGAACCGGGGGAACUGAAACAUCUAAGUACCCCGAGGAAAAGAAAUCAACCGAGAUUCCCCCAGUCGCGGCGAGCGAACGGGGAGCAGCCCAGAGUCUGAAUCAGCUUGUGUGUUAGUGGAACGGUCUGGAAAGUCCGACGGUACAGGGUGAUAGUCCCGUACACCAAAAUGCACAGGCUGUGAACUCGAAGAGUAGGGCGGGACACGUGGUAUCCUGUCUGAAUAUGGGGGGACCAUCCUCCAAGGCUAAAUACUCCUGACUGACCGAUAGUGAACCAGUACCGUGAGGGAAAGGCGAAAAGAACCCCGGCGAGGGGAGUGAAAAAGAACCUGAAACCGUGUACGUACAAGCAGUGGGAGCACCUUCGGGUGUGACUGCGUACCUUUUGUAUAAUGGGUCAGCGACUUAUAUUCUGUAGCAAGGUUAACCGUAUAGGGGAGCCGCAGGGAAACCGAGUCUUAACUGGGCGUUAAGUUGCAGGGUAUAGACCCGAAACCCGGUGAUCUAGCCAUGGGCAGGUUGAAGGUUGGGUAACACUAACUGGAGGACCGAACCGACUAAUGUUGAAAAAUUAGCGGAUGACUUGUGGCUGGGGGUGAAAGGCCAAUCAAACCGGGAGAUAGCUGGUUCUCCCCGAAAGCUAUUUAGGUAGCGCCUCGUGAACUCAUCUUCGGGGGUAGAGCACUGUUUCGGCUAGGGGGUCAUCCCGACUUACCAACCCGAUGCAAACUACGAAUACCGAAGAAUGUUAUCACGGGAGACACACGGCGGGUGCUAACGUCCGUCGUGAAGAGGGAAACAACCCAGACCGCCAGCUAAGGUCCCAAAGUCACAGUUAAGUGGGAAACGAUGUGGGAAGGCACAGACAGCCAGGAUGUUGGCUUAGAAGCAGCCAUCAUUUAAAGAAAGCGUAAUAGCUCACUGGUCGAGUCGGCCUGCGCGGAAGAUGUAACGGGGCUAAACUGUGCACCGAAGCUGCGGCAGCGACACUAUGUGUUGUUGGGUAGGGGAGCGUUCUGUAAGCCUGCGAAGGUGGCCUGUGAGGGUUGCUGGAGGUAUCAGAAGUGCGAAUGCUGACAUAAGUAACGAUAAUGCGGGUGAAAAGCCCGCACGCCGGAAGACCAAGGGUUCCUGUCCAACGUUAAUCGGGGCAGGGUGAGUCGACCCCUAAGGCGAGGCCGAAAGGCGUAGUCGAUGGGAAACAGGUUAAUAUUCCUGUACUUGGUGUUACUGCGAAGGGGGGACGGAGAAGGCUAUGUUAGCCGGGCGACGGUUGUCCCGGUUUAAGCAUGUAGGCGGAGGUUCCAGGUAAAUCCGGUACCUUUUUAACGCUGAGGUGUGAUGACGAGGCACUACGGUGCUGAAGUAACAAAUGCCCUGCUUCCAGGAAAAGCCUCUAAGCAUCAGGUAACAUUAAAUCGUACCCCAAACCGACACAGGUGGUCAGGUAGAGAAUACCAAGGCGCUUGAGAGAACUCGGGUGAAGGAACUAGGCAAAAUGGUGCCGUAACUUCGGGAGAAGGCACGCUGAUAUGUAGGUGAAGCCCCUGCGGGUGGAGCUGAAAUCAGUCGAAGAUACCAGCUGGCUGCAACUGUUUAUUAAAAACACAGCACUGUGCAAACACGAAAGUGGACGUAUACGGUGUGACGCCUGCCCGGUGCCGGAAGGUUAAUUGAUGGGGUUAUCCGUAAGGAGAAGCUCUUGAUCGAAGCCCCGGUAAACGGCGGCCGUAACUAUAACGGUCCUAAGGUAGCGAAAUUCCUUGUCGGGUAAGUUCCGACCUGCACGAAUGGCGUAAUGAUGGCCAGGCUGUCUCCACCCGAGACUCAGUGAAAUUGAACUCGCUGUGAAGAUGCAGUGUACCCGCGGCAAGACGGAAAGACCCCGUGAACCUUUACUAUAGCUUGACACUGAACAUUGAGCCUUGAUGUGUAGGAUAGGUGGGAGGCUUUGAAGCGUGGACGCCAGUCUGCGUGGAGCCAACCUUGAAAUACCACCCUUUAAUGUUUGAUGUUCUAACGUGGACCCCUAACCCGGGUUGCGGACAGUGUCUGGUGGGUAGUUUGACUGGGGCGGUCUCCUCCCAAAGAGUAACGGAGGAGCACGAAGGUUAGCUAAUCCUGGUCGGACAUCAGGAGGUUAGUGCAAUGGCAUAAGCUAGCUUGACUGCGAGCGUGACGGCGCGAGCAGGUGCGAAAGCAGGUCAUAGUGAUCCGGUGGUUCUGAAUGGAAGGGCCAUCGCUCAACGGAUAAAAGGUACUCCGGGGAUAACAGGCUGAUACCGCCCAAGAGUUCAUAUCGACGGCGGUGUUUGGCACCUCGAUGUCGGCUCAUCACAUCCUGGGGCUGAAGUAGGUCCCAAGGGUAUGGCUGUUCGCCAUUUAAAGUGGUACGCGAGCUGGGUUUAGAACGUCGUGAGACAGUUCGGUCCCUAUCUGCCGUGGGCGCUGGAGAAUUGAGGGGGGCUGCUCCUAGUACGAGAGGACCGGAGUGGACGCAUCACUGGUGUUCGGGUUGUCAUGCCAAUGGCAUUGCCCGGUAGCUAAAUGCGGAAGAGAUAAGUGCUGAAAGCAUCUAAGCACGAAACUUGCCCCGAGAUGAGUUCUCCCUGAGACUUUAAGUCUCCUGAAGGAACGUUAAAGACGAUGACGUUGAUAGGUCGGGUGUGUAAGCGUAGCGAUACGUUGAGCUAACCGAUACUAAUGAACCGUGAGGCUUAACCUU
RNAcentral lists this ribosomal RNA (2903 nucleotides) under Klebsiella aerogenes UCI 48. RNAcentral's name for it is "bacterial LSU rRNA". It matches the Rfam family "Bacterial large subunit ribosomal RNA". Lineage: Bacteria; Pseudomonadati; Pseudomonadota; Gammaproteobacteria; Enterobacterales; Enterobacteriaceae. The record is from RNAcentral.